This 292-nucleotide ribosomal RNA is filed under the name uncultured bacterium. RNAcentral's name for it is "partial 16S ribosomal RNA". The record is from RNAcentral.
GGACUACUGGGGUAUCUAAUCCUGUUCGCUCCCCACGCUUUCGCGCCUUAGUGUCAGUAACGUCCCAGCGAGCUGCCUUCGCUAUUGGUGUUCCUCCUGAUAUCUGCGCAUUCCACCGCUACACCAGGAAUUCCACUCGCCUCUUCCGUACUCUAGCUCCGCAGUAUCCAUCGGCAUUCAAAGGUUGAGCCUUUGACUUUCACAACGGACUUACGAAGCCACCUACGCGCGCUUUACGCCCAAUGAUUCCGGACAACGCUUGCUCCCUACGUAUUACCGCGGCGGCUGGCAC